Silurus meridionalis is the source of this 213-nucleotide small nucleolar RNA. RefSeq annotates it as small nucleolar RNA U3. The record is from RefSeq and is a predicted model, not a curated record. The transcript has a single exon. NCBI's taxonomy places the organism in Eukaryota, Metazoa, Chordata, Actinopteri, Siluriformes, Siluridae.
AAGACUAUACUUUCAGGGAUCAUUUCUAUAGUAACUAACUCGGAAAUGUGAUUUGAAAGCGAUACGUCUCCCUAAUCACGAUGACGAGGUUUGAUGUUUUCUUCUGAGCGUGAAUCGGAUUGGAGCUUAUGAUUCUUUCAUGUGCUUUAGUUAUUGAUGAACGUUCUCUGCUUCUUAUGGAGCAGAAGAAGAAGAAUACAUGAUCAGAGUGAU